GCUGCCGAACUGAUGAGCACAGUUCACUGAGUCUGGCCCCGGCAAAAUUCAGUUAGGUCAACAGCUCCCAUGUGAACAGACAUGCAAAUCGGCAGCAGUCUCUGCCCCACCCAAUCCUACACUAAGAGCAAAAGCAUCGACUCGGUGAGUCUAAUUGAAUUGCUAGCUUGUGAAUGCGUGAGUUGUUAAUCUCUGAGUAUUUGAGGCGAUGGAAGUCGAGUCAACCUUCUAGGUUGUUGCACAUGGAUCAUGGACAUGAGGAAUUACUUACAAAGAAACUUGAACUCGCUUGGAGCCUUGACUUGUUCAGAGAGAACGGUUUUGGGUUUUGGAUCUUCCGCGUGCCACUUCGGAUGAAGAUGGCAACGAGUCAAGCAAUCGUGUAAGUACGUUGUAUAAG
RNAcentral lists this long non-coding RNA (400 nucleotides) under Zea mays. RNAcentral describes it as "long non-coding RNA NONZMAT002142". The record is from RNAcentral. Lineage: Eukaryota; Viridiplantae; Streptophyta; Magnoliopsida; Poales; Poaceae.